GAGUGGCGCUCGGGUGAGUAACACGUAGGUAAUCUACCUUUGGGCGGGGAAUAACAGCCGGAAACGGCUGCUAAUACCGCAUAAUGCAGCGGCUCGACAUCGAGACAGUUGUUAAAGCGGGGGAUCCUUCGGGACCUCGCGCCUGAAGAGGAGCCUGCGGCAGAUUAGCUAGUUGGUGAGGUAACGGCUCACCAAGGCGACGAUCUGUAGCCGGCCUGAGAGGGCGGUCGGCCACACUGACACUUGGAUACGGGUCAGACUCCUACGGGAGGCAGCAGUCGGGAAUUUUGGGCAAUGGGCGCAAGCCUGACCCAGCAACGCCGCGUGAAGGAUGAAAUCCCUCGGGAUGUAAACUUCGCAAGAAUGGGAAGAAUAAGUAGGGGACAAUACCCCCUAUGAUGACGGUACUAUUUGUAAGCUCCGGCUAACUCCGUGCCAGCAGCCGCGGUAAUACGGGGGGAGCAAGCGUUGUUCGGAUUUACUGGGCGUAAAGGGCGCGUAGGCGGCCACGACAAGUCACUUGUGAAAUCUCCGGGCUUAACUCGGAAAGGUCAAGUGAUACUGUCGGGCUCGAGUACAGAAGGGGCAACUGGAAUUCUCGGUGUAGCGGUGAAAUGCGUAGAUAUCGAGAGGAACACCUGCGGCGAAAGCGGGUUGCUGGGCUGAUACUGACGCUGAGGCGCGAAAGCUAGGGG
Molecule: ribosomal RNA, 695 nt
Filed under: uncultured bacterium
Lineage: Bacteria
Description: bacterial SSU rRNA
Rfam family: Bacterial small subunit ribosomal RNA
Source: RNAcentral